RNAcentral lists this long non-coding RNA (492 nucleotides) under Selaginella moellendorffii. RNAcentral's name for it is "long non-coding RNA (SMOE_LNC001391)". Lineage: Eukaryota; Viridiplantae; Streptophyta; Lycopodiopsida; Selaginellales; Selaginellaceae. The record is from RNAcentral.
GAUUUUCAAAUUUAUUGGAGUCCCCUUUGUUCUUGAGUUUUGUUACCCAGAAACCUGGAAGAGUAAGUUAAGAAAAUCUGGAAAGAGAGACAAAUAAAACUUGUACCUAUCAGCAUUUUCUUGCUCAAUCCUUGUCUCGUUUUCUGUUCUUUCUCCUUCAAACGAGCCGUGAUAUUUGUUCUUGAGUUUUGUUUCCCAAAAUCCUGCAAGACUAAGUUAAAAAAAAUUCUGGAAAGCCUUGCUAUAAACCUGUUCGUCUUGUCAGGAAGGAUUUUCUUGCUCGAUCCUUGUCUCUUUUCGUGUUCUUUCUCCUUCAAACGAGCCGUGAUAUUUUUCGCUUUCUCAUCCCAGAGCCUGCAAAUGCGUUUCUCUCAAUCCAAAACCUUCCAAGAAACAAAUCAGUCCACUAAGUAGCACACACUUUGUGCACGAACUGACCAAAAAAACCUCACUCGACAUAAAGCCUGUGACCACGAGAAAACUUUUAACUUA